UCUCAAGCAAGAACGAGGUUUGGAUGCUGCUCAUAGUGGUGAGUUUAUAGAUGAACUCAGCAAUGAUAGCACAAUUGGGUAACAAAUUAUUAAUUUAAUCAUCCCUACAACUUCGCGGGAGUAACUUUUCACUAUCUCGGCACUAUAUAAUUUGAUUUUUAAAGAUACAAAGGUAAGUUUAGAAGAUAUGACAAAAUAUUUCCACAUCACUCGUAUUGAUUUUCUCAUCUAUCUAAAUCCUCAUAUACUCAUGUUUGCUGUAACAGUCUUACAAUAGUCAUUGGAAGGACUCAAAAUGUGAAUGCAACCAUGUAUUUUGGAUGCAAAUUAUUUUUGGACCAUUUUUGGAGUCUUCUGUCCCUUUUGACACCUGAAAUAAUAUACUCCUACACGUGUAAUUCAAGCAUUAAACAUGACUUUGCAUCACACAUAGUGUGUACUUUCUUCAUAGCCUAAUAUUCUCAUAUUUCUGUCAAGGGCCUCUAAGUUUUAGUUUCGCCCCGGGCCCCCAAAUCUUAGGACCGGCCUUGUGUGGUGCACGUGUACUCAAGGCAAUGUUGAAGGUAAUAUUUCACUGAAGGUAAUAUUGUGAUGCAGUACAGCUAGUCAGAUAUAGUAAAUUCAGAGAUUGCUUUUAAAAUAUCAUAUUUAAAAGCUAAAGCAGAGGAGAAAUAACUAAGUCAGCUAGUGUAGACAAUUUCAUAUUCUUAGACCAAGUUAGCUAUAACUGUGAAAACAUUCUACAGAGUAAACCAUUGGAAAUUUGUACUCAAAAUUCAGCUAAGUAAAAUCAAUCUUCAGAAAAUAUUAGAGGGUGUGGACAUUAGCGAGUGUAUUCGUAUUUGUGCUUUUGCUAAUAGUUUUCUAGGAAGAAAAUAAUAAUAAUCUGGACACCACCAACCAUUACACUUAAGGGAUACAUUUUCCAUUGCCCAUUGAUUCAUCUACAUAAGCCAUUCAUCUAGAGAAUAUUUCUGUGUAUAAUUAUUCAUCUAUGGAAGCAAUGUAAUUAUUUUGAAAAUCCAUUGUAAAUUAUGCUCUAGAGAAAACUUCAGUGUAUAUGUAUGGCGUGUUUUAGUUUUUACUAAUAAUUUGUCCCGACAUCUAAAAUAGGUUGAUAGACAUUCUUUUAUUUUUACUGAUUUGUAUUGUUGUCAUACAAAUAGGGAAAUUAAAUUUUUCGUUGAAAGCAAGGUAUUACUAUGACCAUGAAGUACACCCAUUUUUGUUGGAUGGCUGUUUGAAUGUUGGGCAAAUUCUGCUCGUUCAUGUACGUGUGCUAUGUACAAGGGGGCUAGGCUUUGUAAUAUAUUUCCUUGUAGGUAUGAUUGUGUACUCGGCUACUUGGUGCUGCCAUCACAAUUUGGAUGACGUGAUAGUUUCCAUCAAGGUUUCCAUCACAAUUUGGAUGACGUGAUAGUUUCCAUCAAGGUUUCCAUCAGGAGGGCCGACGACAAGAACUUCAAUAGUUUAAGUGUUUUGUUUGUUCGAACUGGAUUGCACUGUUUUCUAAAUUGUUGAGUGAUAUAUUUUUAUCAAUCUAGGUUGUAAAAUACCAUUUCAUGGAUGAUUUUGUAAACUACUAUGUUGUAGAUACUUGCGGAUGACUACAUAUUGAUUCAUACGUGUACACAUGACACUUUGUAAAUA
Molecule: long non-coding RNA, 1650 nt
Organism: Hordeum vulgare subsp. vulgare (domesticated barley)
Lineage: Eukaryota; Viridiplantae; Streptophyta; Magnoliopsida; Poales; Poaceae
Exons: 2
Source: RefSeq, a predicted model, not a curated record